RNAcentral lists this unclassified non-coding RNA (395 nucleotides) under soil metagenome. RNAcentral's name for it is "partial contains 5.8S ribosomal RNA, internal transcribed spacer 2, and large subunit ribosomal RNA". The stretch from base 1 to 122 matches the Rfam family "5.8S ribosomal RNA", at positions 35 to 154 of the family's 154-position model. The record is from RNAcentral.
GAUGAAGAACGUAGCGAAGUGCGAUACUUGGUGUGAAUUGCAGAAUCCCGUGAACCAUCGAGUCUUUGAACGCAAGUUGCGCCCGAAGCCAUCAGGUUGAGGGCACGUCUGCCUGGGCGUCACAUAUCGUUGCCCAAUGCCUAUUGCAGUGCAAUAGGAAUUUCUAGGGCGAAUGAUGGCUUCCCGUGAGCGUUGUUGCCUCGCGGUUGGUUGAAAAUCGAGUCCUUGGUAGGGUGUGCCAUGGUAGAUGGUGGUCGAGUUAGAACGAUACCGAUCAUGUGCAUGCUCCCCAAAAUAUGGCCUCUAUGACCCACACGCGUCUUUUGACGCUCAUGACGAGACCUCAGGUCAGGCGGGGCUACCCGCUGAAUUUAAGCAUAACAAUAAGCGGAGGA